This 1214-nucleotide long non-coding RNA is filed under the name Strigops habroptila (Kakapo). RNAcentral describes it as "lncRNA (ENSSHBG00005013960.1)". The record is from RNAcentral. Lineage: Eukaryota; Metazoa; Chordata; Aves; Psittaciformes; Psittacidae.
GGGACCGGAGAGCAUCGCUGGAGAGAGGGAGCCAGCCACCGGGAAGCGCCAGGCCGGUGAACCGGAUUGCUCCGGCGGUGAGAGUGAAAACAUCAGUUCCUGGAACAGUAGAACUGAAGCCAUGGAGCAACAAAUUCCAGCUGUUUCUCAAGGAUCAAUCCACCAUGUUUUGAGGAUGUUGAGGAGCCUUGGUGCAGUGUUUGAAUGCUUCUGGGAACAGUUGGCAUCCUAGCCAGUCUGCAUGCUGCAGGGAUGUUUCUUGCCCAAAUGUGGCACCAAUAGUGGAGUAGACACACGUGGCUGGACAUCCCAAAUACAAGAUUACUUUAGCACCAUUUCAAAGUGAUUUGUACUGUAAGAAAAUUCUGGAUAUGCUGCCACUUCAUUAGCUCUGUGCUGUGUGCUAAAGAAGAUGAGGAGAAUGACCAGGGAAAAGAGUGCAGCGUGAAGUGCUACUGUGACACUUACGUGACAGGCUUUUCAUUCAAUCCUAACUAGUGUUGACAAAUGACUUAUGUUUCUGCAGAAUAGGAAAUUCAGUCAUCAUGUUGCUUAAAUCUAUAAAGAAGAAAUAUCCUGUGGCUUAGGAGUGGAGAGAAAGAACUAAUUUGGUGAUUCUUCCACUGGAUGCAGCUUUCGGCACACUCGACAGAUACCAGUGCAUCACCUAAUCCUUGGUGUUAUGAAGUGGGCUAGAAAUGUGAAAAACCCAUUAAGAUUGGCCUGUCAUCAAGGUGCAGAACCAGUGCCCGGGGCUGCACAGGGAGCAGCUGUGGCAGGUCCUGUUCAUCUGCACGUCCUGACAGUGACAGAUUGAUGGCCUGGCCACAGGCCCGGCUCCCUUCAACAGGCACAAGCUGUAACUGGCUGGGGCUGGAGAUGGACACGAGCUGCAGCCGCAGCGGAACCGGAGCCAUCCAGGGGCUGGGCCUGAGAAACAGGAGGGCAGAAACAGAGACCUGAGGCUGCAGCGAGCCCGAGCCAGGAAUGAGCUGGAGCUGCAAAAGAUGGAGCUGUUGGGGGGGCAGAAACCACUGCCCUGGAGCUGCAAAUGGGCCGCAGCCACGACGGCCGGGAGCUGAACCCAGAACCAAAACUGAGCUGGAGGUGUCCAGGAGCUGUGUCUGAACCAGCACACACAACCACCAAAUCCAAACCCCAAACUCAACAUCCAAACCCAAAAUCAAACAAACCAACCCAAAGUCAAACCCAAA